UACGUAGGUGGCAAGCGUUGUCCGGAUUUACUGGGCGUAAAGAGCGCGCAGGCGGUCGGAUAAGUCGAAUGUGAAAGCCCCCGGCUCAACUGGGGAGGGUCAUUCGAUACUGUUCGACUCGAAGGCAGGAGAGGGGAAGUGGAAUUCCCGGUGUAGUGGUGAAAUGCGUAGAUAUCGGGAGGAACACCAGUGGCGAAGGCGACUUCCUGGCCUGUUCUUGACGCUGAGGCGCGAAAGCUAGGGGAGCAAACGGGG
RNAcentral lists this ribosomal RNA (255 nucleotides) under uncultured bacterium. RNAcentral's name for it is "partial 16S ribosomal RNA". It matches the Rfam family "Bacterial small subunit ribosomal RNA", at positions 524 to 777 of the family's 1533-position model. The record is from RNAcentral.